RNAcentral lists this ribosomal RNA (498 nucleotides) under uncultured bacterium. Its description in RNAcentral is "partial 16S ribosomal RNA". It matches the Rfam family "Bacterial small subunit ribosomal RNA", at positions 30 to 523 of the family's 1533-position model. The record is from RNAcentral.
AUUGAACGCUGGCGGCAUGCUUUACACAUGCAAGUCGAACGGUAACAGGUCUUCGGAUGCUGACGAGUGGCGAACGGGUGAGUAAUGUAUCGGAACGUGCCCAGUAGUGGGGGAUAACUACUCGAAAGAGUGGCUAAUACCGCAUGAGAACUGAGGUUGAAAGUGGGGGACCGCAAGGCCUCACGCUACUGGAGCGGCCGAUAUCAGAUUAGGUAGUUGGUGGGGUAAAGGCCUACCAAGCCUGCGAUCUGUAGCUGGUCUGAGAGGACGACCAGCCACACUGGGACUGAGACACGGCCCAGACUCCUACGGGAGGCAGCAGUGGGGAAUUUUGGACAAUGGGCGCAAGCCUGAUCCAGCAAUGCCGCGUGCAGGACGAAGGCCUUCGGGUUGUAAACUGCUUUUGUACAGAACGAAAAAGCCUCUUCUAAUACAGGGGGUGCAUGACGGUACUGUAAGAAUAAGCACCGGCUAACUACGUGCCAGCCGCCGCGGUAA